RNAcentral lists this long non-coding RNA (8432 nucleotides) under Capsicum annuum. Its description in RNAcentral is "long non-coding RNA (CANN_LNC021266)". The stretch from base 7050 to 7123 matches the Rfam family "tRNA". The record is from RNAcentral. Lineage: Eukaryota; Viridiplantae; Streptophyta; Magnoliopsida; Solanales; Solanaceae.
AGGGAGAAGACAGGAGCUUUGCGCUUAGAGAAGUCCCUUGGCCGGACAGAGCGCAUCUUCUUUUGCUCAUUUUUCAGGGCCUUGCCUUGUUGGCCUACCAAAUAAACAGGCUUUUUUUGAUUGAUUCGCUUACGGGUCAUUAACUAAAGACCUUGAAGUCGUGACCCAUGAGCUAGCUGAGGAAAGCGAUAUCGCGCGUAGACAUCAAGCCGUAGCGCGCGAACCAGCAACCCCUCUUUAUGAUGCUUUCCACUCUUUCGAGAGGAUUCAGUUAUUGAGUCGGUGAGCUGAUCUCGCCUUUUAUCUGGACAUUGUGAGUUCUCCCGAUCAUGACGACGAAGCGAGUGAAGGGUAGCACUGAACUGGCAAAGAGAAUGAAUGAGAUUAUGGGGCUCCGGUUCCAUCGAUUUUGACUUCAUUUUACUUAAUAGAAAGAGGUUGCAAAAAAGGAAGAGAAUGGAUCCACUCAAAAAACUUUGUUCGGAAUCUAACUCAGAGAGGCAGUGUUGAGUCCAUGCAGACUCUAAAUUCGUCUAGCGCUUCAAACCAUAUUGGAUUACUAGAUAAAGAGCGAGUGAUCACCCAUGAGGAAAUGGGCAUUGUCUAAAUCCCUGUUUUAAGAAGUUGAAAGAACGUUUUCGCCGUAUCCUUUACAAGCUUUUACACGAAGCAAUGAAUGAGUUGCUCGACGGCAUUCAUCUGUCUUUUCAGUAAAGCGAGUCUUUCAAGUAAGCCCGCCUAACAUGAAAGUCAAGCCUUUCACUUCAUUGUUCAAGUCCUGCCUUCAGAGAAAAGGGUACAGGUCGGUUUGUUGUUUCGAAAGAUUCUCGCACACGAUUCAGUCUGCCUCUGUCAAAUAAAUAAAGUGGAUGGAGAGCCUUCUUAUCCUUUUAGGUCCGACCUCUCUCUUCCACUUUCCACCCCCCUAAGCUUUACUAAAAGGAGGGUCAUCAACACCGUCAGAACCUCGCAUUUGCGGCUAAGUGUCCCUCCGCGGUAAGGAAUUGAUUUUCUUUCUUUCCCUGCAGUGCUAUAGUGCGCUUGGACUCUAUCUCCGCUGUCUGGCUUUCAUGAAGAAAGAUUGAAAGCGUCCUCUUCGAGCGACUGCGUACCUCAUGUCAAAGAUGUUCGUGUACUUUAGAAUUCGAAAUAGGACUGUUAGCGCUGGUCUCUAGCCACCUAGAACUACCAGAGACUCGAUCCACCUCAGGAACAUUCAAAAGACUAAAGCCACCUGAAACUCACUGAUUGUCUCAUGCCACCUCGGAAGAGAAGACAUAUUCUCAGACAGAAAAGAAAGGACUUACCACUUGGCCACACUCAGAAGCCGGAGUCUGAGCUAGUAGCUAGCCUCAGGUAUAGAACUGGAGUUCUCUAUCAGGGAAUUCCAGGAGUGAAAUAGUAUGGUUUGAUAGAACCAGGUAGUAGUUGGUCGGAAAGGAAGAGAAAGAUACUCCAACGGACUCGGGCAAUCCCUUUACGAAUCAAAGGGAUUGGGCUGAUUGACCCCAGGUUCCGGGACGAUAAUCAGGUAAACAGUUGAAGUACCAAAGAGCGGUCCCAAGGGACGGAAUCAAGGAAGCAAACUAAGAGCCAAAGCUCUUAGCCUCCUAAUAUGAGGAUUCGUCUCACUAAAUGAGUUGAACUGAGUUCAACGAAUCCUCAGAUUCCUUAUAUGUUCAACUCAUUUCGAGUGACAAAUGUUCCUCAGAUUCCUCAUCUCUUGGGCUUUCUCCGGUUGACGUUGAAGCCAAAGAAACGGGGGGGAAGGGCACAAAACGUAGUUACCACACCCAUUCCCAUUCCAUUAUUGAUUCGAAUAGCUAAGCGAAGGCUUAAUUGAAUGGACGAGUAAGGGAAUACGAGCUCCUUCAUCUCCUUAUAUACGUCGCCAUGUUCGUUGACGGCCGAAUAAGAAGGGGGCCAAACAGCCACUUGACGGAAGUUUUAGGGGUGAGAGCAGACCCCGAAUAGGGUGAAGGGGAUGCCUCAUUGGCAGCCGAGAGCAGCCUAUUCUGUCUGUAGCAGCUUCUUCUUUCAAAGGCAAAGGCCUUUAUAGACUCGUACAAAGAAGAAAAUAAGUUCCAUGACAUGGCACUUGCGAGGGAGUUUAGUUCAUAACCUCGUAGGCCGGGAAUGCCAUCAAGAACCCUUUUCCUCUCGGUCUCAGUGUCAGCCAAGUUAGCAUCGGCUCCAUCAUUUGAAGCUUAUGACAUUGAUGAGUGAUCCAACAGUCUUGAGUGGCAGUUCUCCAAGGAGAAGGGAUCCCAGGUAGGAGAGCCAGCCGGGCCAGGGGAAAGAGGUAGUCAAAGACUACCCGGGAGUAGGUUCUGGAAUUUAUUCAGAGUUGCCACUCCUCAAUCUUCGAAAUUCCAGCGAUAGAGGACUUGAUACUUAUCUUCGACAAGCCUUGAUCUGUGCUGAAGACAGAUUCUCUUAUCGGCUGAGGAAAUAGGUAGCCACCCAUUCUUCCUUUCCGACCUUAGCUUAGCUGCUCACGCCAAUGCUCAUGGGUAUGGGGCAAUAACUGCUGCUACUGUUAUACUCCCACACUAUAAGAGACGGCUCAUCUUCUAUCUAAGACCUCCUCAAUGAGAGGAUGCCUGAAUGCUACUUUCGUCUACGUAUGGCUUAUAUUAUAUAAGCAAUCCUCCUUCUAUGGUCUUAGGCCCAGUUUCUUUCAACUAAGAUUUAUACUAAGCUUCCUCCCCCUGAAGCCUGAGUCAAAGAAUCCGUCGAUUCCAAUUCCACUAUAGGAAGUGCUGUUAUGAUCGAUUUUCCUUCUCCUCUUCAUUAAUAGCCUGGGAACUUAGAUUCUGAAUUAGAGUAUGGCAGGUCCGUCUUUGACCUUUGACCUUUGACCGGUUCGGGUUCGGGACUCGUUCUAUGACCGUACUCCUAUGUUUUGGGAGUCUGAGAAAGCUCUUCGUCCGCAUUCGCCAAGCCUAACAAGCCUUGGAAGUCGGCUAAGGCGCAAUGCUCCCUAUUUUCCGUGCUAGCUUUUGGGUCUGCUAGCGCUUCGAUGCUUUCGAUUCUUCUUUCCUAGGCUAUUUCGUACGUGUAAGCUUUCGAAGUCGUAUAUCGAAUGAGUGGAUAUUCCCACAUCCUCCCUUCAUGCUAAGACCACUUUGUGUACUGCGUCUUCUAUCGCUAUCUACGGUGAUUCUCCCGUCUAACCGGAGUGAGGACUCAGCAUGAAUAGCCGGACGCGAGAGAAAGACAAAAACAAGGCUUCUCGCGGCCCUAUCGAAUCCGUUCCCGAGUGAAGGUCACUUCACAAGUUGCCUUCUCUGGUCUUGCGGCGCACUCACUCCCUUUCCUUCCGCUCACUUCUGGACCCUUCGCUCCCGGUUAGUGCUCUUUGGCCCGGUCUAUUCUGUCUGAUAUGAUAUCAUAUAGCCAGGAAAAAGGGAUCUACUAGUCAUCGCCUUUGAGCUGGUAUUACCUGGAGUCGGCUAUUCCUGAUUCAGCAAAGGAAAGAAACCUUGAUCCCAAGACUAGCACUGACUCUAUUAUGAGACCUCCCUCUGUCGCAAUAGAAAUCGAGAAUGGAGGUGACUUCGCUACACUUGUUUAUAGUUGGAAAUUCCAACUCGAAGGCCCUAGUACUACUGACUUUGCACCAGAAACAAUUGAAGCCUUUUUUCGGCAUCCCUUCUCAGACGUCUUAUUCCUUGCCUUAGUAAUGUGCAAUCAGCUACUUGGCACCUUCCCUUAUUCUCCCUCCUUUCCCUUCCUUGCAAAGGUCUUAUAAGGCGAUGACCCUACUUACACGAUAUGAGAAUGGUUCGACACUUUCAACCCCAUAACCCACUUCCAAGACUUUAGGACUAACUGGAUUUCUUUCGACUUAGUUCUCUGUUCGUCUCGGGUACUCGCUCUGCUAAUUGGUAUGAUAACCAGUAAAGGGAAGGUACAUAGUCAUCUUUUCCAGAGCACCCUAAACCGUAACAGCAAGACCAACGGAUAUGACCAAAAAUUCCUUGUCACGAGCUUGGCUUUGGGGACAGUUUCACCGACCUAAGAACCAUUUCCUUUAGCAGCGGCGGAGGAUAUUAUAUAAAAGCAAAGAAGAGAGCGAAGCUCCUCUCCAACCAGUCAAGUGGCCCAAGGGCCACCUUUCCUGGAUUAGAAAGAAAGCUACUAACAGUACCGUGCAAUAUCUGGCCUAGUGCAAACCAUGGCAUACAUCAAACUACCAACUGCAUAAGAAUAAGGAACAAGAGACAUUUCCUUCUUCUCUUCAUCAGUUGAUGGACUUGACUUUUUCUUUAGCCUCUCGGCUUCGAGAAGCCGUGGGCCCAGUAGUGCUUUCUUAAAGCCUGUAACCCGCUCGACGUAAGAACCGAUCUCAAGCUGGAUGAGAAGGGAAAUAAAGACUAGUGAGAAUAGCCGUAAUUCAACUAGGCCUUGAAUCAGUGGUUUACAGAGACAAUUAGUCAUCUGCUUACGGCUAAUCUGCUCUUCGAAUCGUCAUCUUAGAAUAGGUUGGAACUAUUUCAAGAUGAUAGGCUUAUUCUGAAAGUACGCAUUUCUUGCUCUAAGUCCGCUGGGUUGGAUCGAACUAGUAGGUUUGGCAGGAAGAUAAUGGCAUAAAAGAAGCAUUCCACUUUUGGAAAGAGAAGAGUCAGUCUGAUUAUAGAUCCCUCUGUCUUGCAUUGGGUUAACUGGAGCUUAGAUAAAGCGAUAGGCAGAAGAGAGAGAAUUAGUCCGUCUUUAUAGACUGACUUUCCUCGCAUCAAAGCUUUCCGGUUCUCUUCCUUUAUGAAGAAAGGAAAGGCUUGUUAUCGACGAAGAAGAUCUUUAUACUGUUCAUCCUAAGAAAAGAAGUUUUCACUCGGUACAACUAUUCUAUGCUAGCAUAGCAUGCUUCUACUUAUGUUGUGUUGCAAAUUCCGGAUCAGGAACAAUCCUUUCUUAUUCGUUGAUGCCAGUCUAAAAAUCCGUACUUGUUGACUAAAUUUCGGCUUUCUAGCUUGAAGCUUAAGGGCUAAGGGAAAUUCAUCCUUGGAUCAAUGAAAUAGUUGAAUUAGCGUUGAUGCAAGAAGCAACCUCUUAUUGAAAUGACUUUAGGAAGUGCCUAACCUUUCUCCUUCGAUCCGAUCCUUUCUGUGACCCGAAAUGAACUUAUUGUCUCUUCGUCUCUUGCCUUUGAAUCGGAUAUUCCGAUGAAAGCGGAUUCUCUUUCCGUCCCUCGUCAUCGAGAGGAAGAAUCGCUAUCUAUCUAUCCAUAUACGUAUCAACAAAUGUGGUUCCAGGGAUCGGUCGAUUGCCCCUCACCAGCAGCUAGAGGAGGAGAAAGGAAUGAUGUCCCGGCCUGGGCUGGGCACCUAUCAGCCAACUAUUCCUUUUUGGAAUGGAAAGAAGAAAGGAUGGUCGUAGAUCACUGAUGUCGAAUUCACGAAAAAGAUCAUAUGUGAAAGAAUCGUCAGAUUAUGGGUUCCCGGAGUAGACGGAAUGGAGAAUGAAUGAAAUAGAAUAGUCUGGCAGAAUCGUAUGAUAGGGAAAGUGCGGAGCCUCCCACUUGUCUGGGUUACCGGGCUGGCUAACCUAACUAUGAAUUUCUAUCAAUGUCGGGAUAGACAGAGGUCUAGGAUAGUACGCUGUCGGAGUGAGACCGGGGUACAGUAACGAAGUUAGACCGAAAUGAACGACUCAAUUCCUCUAGAAGAAAGGAGAGAGAAAGAACAACCAAUUCUAUGAAACAAUAUCGUCAUUUACUAGAAUCGGUUGCUACUAGUCCGGGUUACCUCAGAGAUAGAGCCAUUAGGCGAGAAAAAACAACCUAGUUAGUGCACUAACUCAAACCUAGUUCUUGCACGAAAUGUCCUGCUAACAUAGGAGCACUCCUACUAAGAAAUGGAAGAGCAAAUUUCUUUCUGUUCGACGACACAAUGCCUCACCUGCCCUCUGCUACACAUCUCUUUCGUUCGCCCUAGACCCACCCACCAAAUGGAACUCUGCCCUUUUUGUUGGGUUAGAGCGAGUAUGAAGUCAGGGAGGAAGAAGAGGGAAGAAAUAAUAUAGUAAUAUUAACCUUUCCUUCGCUCUAUUCCCAAGUCCUGGGCUAAGCUGAGCUUCGAAGUCGGGCUUUCUUCCUAAUCUCAUCUACUGAAAAGGGGGCCGGGCGUAGCACGUUCUUUUUUGGGACACAUAGGCUAUUACAGACGCAUCAAAAAAGACUUUUCGAAGCGCGGAAUCCCAGAAUGGAAUCAUUGCAGAAGAAAGGUAUAAGGCUUGGGAACCGGAACAGGAUUAAGCCUUUAAGCAUGCAGAUGAGUGUUUGCUGUCAGCCCCAAUCCUUCGGUUUCCGGAUUGGAAUAAGGAGUUCCAUGUUCAUACUGACGCAUCACUCUAUGCCAUUGGAUGUAUGUUGGCGCAAGAAGGGCCGCUUGAUCACUCCAUCUACUUUGAAAGUAUACGACUUUCCGCUUGGGAAUUAUAAAACCACCGAACCUUCUUUAUCAUGAUUCGACCCAUACCUCAGACCUAAGAUCGAGCACCAGAGCUGCUCAUAACAACGUACCAAAAAGAAGAAUGCGAGAAGUUCAUAUUCUCCAGAUUCUACUAUAAACCAGGUAGUGAGGAUGAAAAAAAGCAUAAGCUACCUCGUUCGUGCUCCCGUCUUUCCCGCUGCCAUCUUCGGUGGAGUAACCAAGUUUUUCUUUCUCACUCCUUAUGUACUUUUUUUUACUUCAUCCAUACUUUUUGACUUUUUCUGAAGUGUGGGGCAAACGGCGCCCUCUACUUCUACUUCUAACUAAAGGCGAACAGCCGGCAUUGCAAGCAAAUAGAAAGCCCCCGCCCGUUUGAGCCGGAAAGCGUACCGGCUGUUUGAGUCGCAUCGCAAAAGGGCUGCUUUCUUAAUAUUAUUCUUAAUAUUAUUUAUAUAAUAAUAAUAAAUAAUCUAUAAACAAAAAGAAAAAGGGGAAAUCUUUUUUCUUCAAAAAUUCUUCAUUCCUGGGAAGAAGAAGAAGCAGAUAGGACAAAGGCCUUCUCUUUCCAUUCGCUCUACUCGAAGUGAGCGAAUUGCAUGUAGAGAUCCGUAGGGGCUUAUACUUUAAUUGGUUGAAACGUACCACUCAUAACGGUGAUAUUGUAGGUUCGAGCCCUACUAAGCCUAUCACCCCCUUCUUUUCACCUGAUACAAGGCAGUUAAAUACCCACCACCCUGCAGAUCUGAAUGAUGCGAUGGGAACCACACUGCUGCCAAUGCCCUUUGGGCAUGCCUCCUAUGAAUAUCACUCACCUACGCUCUUGGCGUAUGCCACCUUUGGGCAAUAUGGUGUAAUACGCAAAGCAGUUGAGCCAUAGCUCUUCGAUUGCUAUAUUCUUGCAAUAGAGAAGGUGUGGUUUAUCCUUUAAGAGAGAGUAAAUGUGAAGGUUCGGAUUGAAUAUCUUUACAAUACAUCCUUGGGGCACCAUAGUAUGUCGGGAAUAAGGGGGUCAUAGUGAACGUAACCACUCCCUUGGUUGGGGGCUAUGAAUCCCCUAUCCUUUUAAUUUUUUGAUUCCCAGGUCUUUUUUAUUAUAACUGUUGGAAUAUUUUUGUUGACGACUUAGUCAGGGUGGUUCACUAUUUCUUUGUUGAAGGCGUUGUUAAGCCCUAACGUUUGAAUUCCAAUUUCAUUGCCCUGACAAAACUUUAUGAUCCCCACUUCCAGAAAAAAACUGAAAAGAUGGGGCGGUCGGGGACUUGAAUGAAUGUUAUUAGUCGUGAAUUUGAACUUUUUGGUAUUCUUUUGAUAUAUUUGCAAGAACAUUCUAUGGUUUUAAUAAGAGGAGGUAGAGUGAAAGAUUUUUUGGCUAAAUAAUAAUUUGGUUAUGCCCAGCCCACUAAUGGGGGGCGGUGGCUAAUCCGUACACGCAGUGGGAGGUGACAGCCAGAAAUGAGAUUUGGGGAACAAAGUCAAUUGAUGCGCUCUUAAAGGGAGAAGACAGGAGCUUUGCGCUUAGAGAAGUCCCUUGGCCGGACAGAGCGCAUCUUCUUUUGCUCAUUUUUCAGGGCCUUGCCAUGUUGGCCUACCAAAUAAACAGGAUUUUUUUGAUUGAUGAGCUUAUGGGUCAUUAACUAAAGACCUUAAAGUCGUGACCCAUGAGAUAGCUGAGGAAAGCGAUAUCGCGCGUAGACAUCAAGCCGUAGCGCGUGAACCAGCAACCCCUCUUUAUGAUGCUUUCCACUUUUUUAAGAGGAUUCAGUUAUUGAGUCGGUGAGCUAAUCUCACCUUUUCUCUAGACAUUGUGAGUUAUUUCGAUCAUGACAAUGAAGCAAGUAAAGUGUAGCACUGAACUAGCAAAAAGAAUUAAUGAGAUUAUGGGGCUUCGGUUCCAUCAAUUUUGACUUUAUUUUACUUAAUAGAAAGAGGUUGCAAAAAAGGAAGAGAAUGGAUCCACUGAAAAAACUUUGUUUGGAAUCUAACUCAGAGAGGCAG